AAAUCUAUGAAAACUCCUAGAUCCUUUGAGAUACAUUGAACUUUCAAUGGCAUGUUUAUAUCUCGAUAUGCCCCUCUUGUUUGUGACUGGGAUGCCGAGGAUCACAAAGCGGGUGUGAAUAACCAUGCAAACUUACAUGGUGCCCUCACAUGUUACAGUCACCUAUUCGAUGUGCCGGUAAACCACACACGCUCCACCGAACUAUGACAAACAUUGAGUCACCCUUUGCUACCUUUGCUUAGAACCAUUUAGUGUGCCGGUAAACCACACGCGCUCAACUAACGUCUUAGCAACGGCACAAAGUGUAAUUUCAUGGAAUUGCAUCAUUAUACUUAUAAUGGAAGGUUUCGUCCUAUCCUACCCGUUCGGCUAACGACCCUCCACUAGUCAAGAGUGCGGUGGGUAAGAGUGGAUACCCAUUCAAUCGCCAUUUUAUAGGCAAUUUCCUUAAACACCCCUUAUAGACCAGCUUCGUGAAUGAGGCCUACUAACGGUAAGACUGACUUUUACUCAUACAUAUAUAUAAUGUUAGACUUUUAAUGUUAUAUAUAGUAUAGGGUGUAUUUUAUACUUUUAAAAUACUAGGUGGUCUAAUUUAACAAUUAUACUUUUAAUUCAAUUAAAUUGUAAACCUAAACUUUUAUGGAUUUAUUAAACCUCUUUUAAUUAUACACCUUAAUUAAUUAAUAAAACCAUAAGGGUGUGAUUUGAACUUUUUCAAAACUAUACUAGAGUUUUAGAAUUUAACAUUCCUAAUUAAACUUUUAAUCAACUUUUAAAUUCCAAAACUUGAGGGCAAGUUUUGAAACAUUUCAACACAUUAGGGUUUAGAAUUUAAAUAUGCAUCAAAAUUAAACUAUUUAAUCAAAAUUUAAAUUCCAAAACUUGAGGGCAAGUUUUGAAACCUUUUUCAAAACAUUAGGGUUUCAACUAUUUAAAUUUCAAAACAACAAAACUUUUGGGGUUCAAAUUUAAACUAUAAAACCUAAAGGGCCAAAUAUGAAACUUUUCACAACAACAAGGAUCAAAUAACAAAUAAUUCAAAUUAACAUUUAAUCACAUAAUUAUCCAUAUUUGAUGAUUUCUUGCAAAAUAAUUUAUCAAUUUACUUAAAAUAAUUAAUCAAUUAUCUUAUAAGGAAACAAUUAUCUUAUUAAUUGAUAAAUAUCUUCAAUUAGAUUAAAAAUAUAGUCAAAUAUAUCAUAUAAUCGGAUUAAUAUUAAUCUAACAUGAUAAGGUAAUUAUCCCAAUGCAAAAACAGCAAGAAAUCCCGAGAUAAGCACUGUCUGACGCACCGACUCGCCGAGUCACCCUCUGGAACUCGCCGAGUAGGGCUGACUCGCCGAGUCCAAGAGUGACUCGCCGAGUCAGGUCGAACAGUGAGGCCAAAACACGAUUUUCAGUUACAUCAAGCAUCAAUACAAUAGAAACCAAUCAAGGCUCUGAUACCACUGAUGGGUUUUGGUCAUAAGACAUCCUAUGUGCUCAUACAAACCCUAAAGCUUGGAUCUAGGUUUCUCUAUUGUACAUACUUUGAAUCCAAGACUUUGAACCCUAAUUCUAGCAUAUGGAAAUCAGAAUUCACAUGUAAUUAGGUUUAAGAACAUACCUUGAUUGUUAUAUAGCAAUAACAAUCCAAUUCCUCCUUGAAUUGACCUUGGAAAGCUGAGAGUCACAAGUGUCACUCCUCUAAUGGCUUACAAACACCAUAAGCAAGUGGAGAAGGUAUAAAGAGAGAGGAGGGAGGUUAGAAUUCGUCCUUAGAUCCUCUUGGGAAGAAGUACACGAAUUCUAAGGCCUUAGGGGUCUUUAUAUAGGGUUGGGAUUAGGUUUUCAGUCCUUAUCCUUAUCUAGUUGCUUGUCCACCAAGCAACCAUAAGAUAAGUCCUAGAAACCCUUAUCCUAGUCGAAUUCUAAGUGAUUAUCACUUCAAAUUCGUCCACCAUAUAUAUAAGAUAAUCCUUACCUUAUUUUGUAACUAUCACAUAAUUACAAUUCAGCCCCUCUAGUUUAAUUAAUUACACUUGAUCACAAAAUUAAUUCUUAAUUAAUUAUUGACCAAUAUUAAUUAAACAAAUAUGAUUUCUCCUUUAAUAUAUUAUUCUUAUAACAUAUUAAUAAAUCAUAAUAACCUCUCUCUCUAUUUAUUUCUCCAAUCAAGUUGCUUUGGUGAAGGCAACCCAAAAGGACCAUGCACCAUCGGGUCAAGUACAUACCAAAAUAGUUAUGGACUUAGACACUAAUCCAACAGUUACACCCAAUAAUACAACCACCUAAUCAAUGUGCCGGUUAACCACACACACUCCAUUUAUCUAUGAUUAGCAUUAAGCUACCCUUUUCCACGCCCUAUCAAUCUAGAUUAGUGUGUCGAUUAACCACACACACUCCACUAACAACUUAACAAGGUGCAAAGUGCAAUUUCAUGGGUUAACACCAUAUUCACAUUUUCCUAAGUAACUAAGAUUUAGGAAUUUAUAAGUGUUUAGUUACUUUAUAUUUAUCAUUAUAAUUUUAAUGAAGGUUAAAAUUUCCAAUUAAACGCGUUCAACUAACAACCCUCCACUAGUCAAGGAAGCGGUGGGUGAGAGUAGACACCCAUUAAACUGCCAUUUUAUAGGCAGUAACCUUAUACCCCCUUAUAGNUAUAAGGGUUGCAUUUUAAACUUUUACAAUUUUAGGGUUUGGAAUUAAAUGUUUCAAAAGUUAGACUUUCACAUUUACAAAUUCCAAAACUUGAGGGCAAGUUUUGAACUAUUCAAAAACUUUAGGAAUCCAUAAAUUAUUUGUUUAAUAUUGGUUUUAAUGAAAAGACUCUUGAAAAUCCAUAACUAGAGGACAAGUUACGGAGUUCAUACAAACAUUUAUGGAAAAAGACUCUUCAAGUUCAUAACCUAUAAGUUUAAUGAUCUCUUUAAAAGAAAAACUUUUCAUUUUCCAUAACUUGAGGACAAGUUACAGAAUUCAUCAAAACAUUUAGAUCAACUAUUGUAACUUACAAAAUCAAACAAUUUUGUCUAUGAUCGAAAUUAAACUCAUAAGAACAAGACAAUUCAUAUCAAACAAAUUUCAUGUAAUUAGCCUAACCAUAUAAACUAAUGCAAAACAUGAAACAUUGACAAUUAUCUUAUAAAUUGGAAAAGCAUGAUCAUUAAGACAUCAAAAACAGGUUUAUAAGUUCAAAAACAACUUAGGGUAAUGAUCCUAGUCCAAUUCCAGCCUUAGAACUCGAAAAUCUGCAUUCUGGAGCACUAACUCGUCGAGUACAUGAACUGAAACGGCAAGUUGAUCUGUUCAUAGGGUUGACUUGGCGAGUCCACUAUCCAGACAGCAAAAAAAUGAUUUUUCAAGCUUCAAAAAAAGUAGCAUCAAGUAUACAAGAAAACAACCCUAGGCUCUGAUACCACUAAAGAGUUUUGAGCAUUCUAACAAUCCUAAGGUGUACAUGCAACCCUAAAUGCUUUGAAUCUUUGUUUUCUCAACAAUACAUGCAAACUUUCAAUAUUCCAAAUGAUCAUCCUAACUAGCACACAAUGGAGUAUCUAUACUACAAAAUUCUAGUUAGAUGACAUACCUUUUGUUGUAGUUGAAAGCCUUGAACCUUUUAGAGCUUAGCAUUAAUAUUGUGAAUGCCUCAAGUUGAAUCACAACUCACCUUUGGACAAAGGAUGACUUUUGAGAGGGUAUGGUGUACACAAAUCGGUUAUGGCUCUACAAGAACACUCUAGUCUAUCUAGCACCAAUUUCACCAACCAAGGGGUUUCUUAUAUAAUAUGGUACAACUAAGGUUACGCCAUGCAAACCCUAAUGUGCAUGACUUUCCACAUUCCUUAGGCUCCAUGGGUUUUAACCUCCAUUUAGUGUCAAUGAGUCACCACAUGGUCUUAGCUCAACAUAAAGAACUAUGGAUCAUAAGCCCACUUUAUAAGAAUGAAUGAACAUAGAAUCAAUCCCCAUAUAUAUUUAAUUAGUCUAUUUUGAUCACAUAAUUAAUUCCAAAUUAAUUAUUGAUCAAUACCAAUUAAAUAAUAUGAUUUCAUAUUAAUAUAUUAGAACUUAUAAUAUACAUUAAUAAAUCAUAAAUAACCUCAUCUCAAAAGUCCAUCCUAUCAAAUUGUCCUGGUGAUAUGAAACCCAAGUGGACUAUGCAACUCUCGGGUCAAGUACAUAUCAAUUAUAGUUAUGGACUUAGACACUAAUCCAAUAGUGCGAGCCACUGAUUCUGACCUUGCCAAAGAGCAUCGAUGAUUUCGUGGUUUACUAUGAUGCUUCGAUCACAGGUAUGGGUGCAGUGCUGAUGCAGCGGGAUCAGGUGAUAGCGUACGCUUCGAGGCAGUUGAAGGCUCAUGUGGCGAACUACCCAAUGCAUGAUUUUGAGUUGGGGGAUGUGUUUUUUGCUCUCAAUAUUUGGUGGCAUUACCUUUUAUGUGGUUCUUUCUACCAUUUACAUGGACCCCAAGAGUUUGCGGUAUCUGAUGGACUAGCCAAAUCUGAACAUGAGGCAAUGUCGUUGGCUAGAUAUGGUAAAGGAUUAUGACUAUGAGAUCCUUUCUCACCCGGGGAAGGCCAAUGUGGUGGCCGAUGCUCUUAGCUGCAAGGUAGUGGCGGCUCCUAUUCGAUACAUAUGUUUUAGGAUGACAAUGAUUACUCCAUUAUUGGAACAGCUUUGGGUGAUGUAGGUCGAGGGUAUGAAAGAAGAGCAUUAAAAGUGUCAGUAGAUCAUAGGUCAGCUAGCCUUAUUUGACUACGACAUUCGUAUUUUGUUAAUCGUGCAUCAGAGGGUCUAGGAUCCUUAUUGGGGUGGUGUAUGCCAGGUUCUGAUGGAGGAGGCCCACAAAUCGGAUUUUCCAUCCAUCCCAGGGCGAUAAAGAUGUAUCGGGAUCUUCGCUCUUAUUAUUGGUGGCCCUGCAUAAUGUGGGGCAUAGAAUGGUAUGUCGAGCGGUGCUUGACUUGCAGGAAAGUCAAGGCUGAGCACCAGCAACAUCACGGUAAAAUGCAGCCGUUGGAUAUUCUAGUGCGGAAAUAGGAGGAUAUCACUGUGGAUUUCAUCACGAAGCUUCCCAGGACCACACGUAGAGUAGAUUCGAUUUGGGUCAUCGUGGAUCGAUUGACAAAGAGUGCUCAUUUCAUCCCUAUCCAGGAGAGUAUAUCGGCUGAGAAGCUAGCCGAGAUCUAUGUCCACGAGGUGGUGGCACGUCACAGAGUGCCAGUUUCGGUUGUGUCAGACCAAGGUGUUCACUUCACUUCCAUAUUUUGGAAGCGGUUUCAUGAAGAGUCGGGUACUCGUCUUCACUUCAGCAUAACUUUUUACCCUCAAACUAAUGGGCAAAUUAAGAGGACAAUCCAGACUCUUGAGGAUAUGCUGCAUGCAUGUGUGAUGGAUUUUGGCAGUAGUUGAAACACAUAUCUUCCAUUAGCGGAAUUUUCAUGUAACAACAGUUAUCACACUAGUAAAGAUCAACCUCCCUUUGAGACGCUCUACGGGAGGGAGUGUAGGACCCCAAUCUAUUGGGGUGAGGUCGUUCAGAGAGUCAUAGGGAGUACUGAGGUGGUAGUCAAGACCAUAGAGAAGAUCCAAUAGGUCCGGAGCAGGCUCCCGAUUGCUUAGACUUGGCAGAAAAACUAUGUUGACAAGCAUCAUUCAGACCUAGAAUUUCAGGUAAGAGAUAUGGUGCUGAUGACGGUGUCACCUUGGAAAGGUGUCAUCCGGUGUAGGAAACGGGGCAAGCUGGGCCCUAGGUAGAUCGGUCUAUUAAGAUUUUUGAAUCAGGUGGGUCGUAUGGCCUACCAUUUGGAUCUUCCAGCAGAGCUUAGCCAGAUCCACACCAAUUUUCAUAUAUACCAACUGCGGAAGUGCUUGGUGGAUGACUCCGCAGUUGUGCCUUUAGAGGAUAUCCAAGUGGAUGACAACCUGAACAACAUUGAGAGGCCAACGACAAUUUUGGAUAACAAGAAGAAAACCUUGAUAAACAAGGUUGUAAAGUUAGUGAAGAUGCAGUGGAUGCACUGUAAGGAGUCAGAGUGGACUUGGGAGCCUGAGGAGGAGAUGAUAGAGCAUUACCCAGAGUUAUUUGAGGAAGCAGACAUCAAGGACGAAGUUUGAGACAAUGGUUCCUGGUAUGCAUUUAAUUAUAAUUUAUUCAUUUUUAUAGAGAAGCUCGACGAGUUGGAAGCCCCAAACUCGUCUAGUAGAGAAUAUCAGGACCGCAUGAUUUAAGUAAUCUACUCGACGAGUUGAGUGUCCUCAACUCGAUGAGUAGAUCGUCUGUGAAGAAAAACCUAAUUUCUAGGGUUUUGCACCCUAUUUAAAGGACUUAAUCUCUUCCCACCAGCCCCCAUCAGCCUCCCUGAAACCCUAAAUUGUAUUGCGUGCUCCUUGGUGAGAAACUUGAGGUUUUGAGUAGGUUUUUUGUGUUUUUGUGCUUGGUGAAGGACUUGAAAGAACUAGAAUGUCAUUGAGCUUGAGGGAAGCACUAGAUCUGGGAUCUCGAGAUUGGGUCCACUUGAGGCAUGUAAAGCCAUCAAUUUGUCGAGUUUACAGAAAUAUACCAUGGAAACUAUGUAGAUCUAUGUUUUGGAACCUUAGAUCUGAGGAAAGGAUUGAAUAGACCUAAAAUGCAAAGAACUCGGUAGGUUCAUAGAGGAACUCGAUGAGUUGGGUUGAACAUUCCAUAUUCUAUUAAUGGAGCUCGGCGAUUCCAUAAGGGAACUCGACAAGUUGUACUGGGAAGAUCUCGUUUCUAUUGAGAAGAAGGAACUCGGUGAUUUGGAGGAAAACUUAAUGAGUUAGAUCGCGUUUUCGCGAUUCUAUGAUUCAUGAGAACUCGACGAGUUGAAGGGUAAACUCAACGACUUGAGUCAACUUGGAGCGUUGACUUUGACUUGACCUUCACUUUGACUUAUCCAGAAUUGACCUUAAGAUUUAUAAGUAUGAAUAAUUGUUAGAUUAGGUGUCUACGCCCAUAACAAUCAAUGGUAUGUACUUGAAUGGAUAAUAGCAAUGUCCUUUUGGGUUGCCUUCAAACCUGGUAAUUGAAUAGGAUAAUUGUUCGAGAGAGAAAAAUGAUUUAUUAAUUUAUUAAUUGGUUAAUAAAUUAAUUUGAAAUCAAGAUAAAUGAUUUAUUAAUGUAUUAUGGAUAUAAUAUGUUAAUUAGAAAUCAUAUUGUUUAAUCAAUAUUUAAUCAGAAAUUAAUUUGGAAUUAAUUUUAGGAUUAAAUGAAUUAAUUGAAACUGAAUCAGCAACGAUUUGGCGCACUGGUCAAGCAAAUUUGUUGGGAAGAUCAACCUCCUAAACUUCCAUGAAUAUUGACAAUGGUAACAUUGGAUGUCCAGAAAAGUCUCCUCUUUCCAAUGGAAAGGGAUUGGUCGAGGUCAAACCAUUUGACCAAAUGGUAAAGACAAAGGCUGAAUUUGAAAUUGUCCCAUGUGUUGUUCCAAAAGAGUCUAUUUGUUUCUACUGCUAAGAGAAGAGGCAUUGGAUGUGAAGCUGCCAUAUGUACCUGAAAGAUCAAAAGGAUGGGUGAGUCAAGAUGUAUGACUCUGCUUCAGGUAAAUCCACUAUCUAACUCUAUUAGGUUUAUAUUUGUAGAUUAUUAAUACAUGAUGUGAUAAGAUUACAUUUUGAUGUUUUGUAGGAUCAAAGAAAAGAAAGGAAGCUUAAAGGAAGAAGUGAGUUGAGUCUGGUCACGGAGAGAUGGAUUUUGAUCGCAUGGUUCGGUGAUUGGAUUUUUGAGCUACUACUUAAGAGUUAUGAUAGAUUGCUUAGGAAUAUUUAGUUAAAUAGUUUUCAUUUGUAAUUGUGAUUGUAAGGACAAGUUUUUCUACAUUUUUAUAAAUAAAAUAAAUUUUGGUUUUUUGUUUUUUAUAUCCUUGCAAUGGCAUUUGUGAAAAUUGAUGUUUGUAUGUUUCUAUUGUUAGCAAUACUGAAAUGGAUAUGAUUCUUAAUUAUGAUAUUUGUGGUAGUGUCAGAAAAUUUCCAAAUAAGGAAAGAUUCUCAUCACCCAAAUUUCAAUUGGAUAGAAACUUGGAAUCAUGCGACUUGCAUUGUAUGAUGAAUGAGAACCUUCAUCUUUUGGAAAAUUAAGACUAAUUCAUUGUUCAUACAAGUAUGUGAGUCAAGUGAAGGACUAAAGGGUCCAGUACACAAUGGUGUGCAUUGGUCAGGUCCACCACAAAGAACAAUAAGACUAUUUGUCGUGAUUUACUAAAAGUUUAGUAAACAUGGUUAUACUUACAAGAUUAAGUGUGAUUCGGAAUCAUUGAAAAAGCUUCAAUGUAAAGUAGAACGAAUAGGAAGAAUCAAUUAGGCCGAAAGAUAAAAGUUUCUCCAUUCUAAAAAUAAGGGAGAGCACUUAAUUAUCGUGUUUUACGAUUAACCUAGUGAUUAUUAAGUCGUGUCACAAUUGAUCCUCUAAGAACACCUUAGUGCAGUAGUAUGGCUCAGAGCAGGAAUCAGAAAUUGUUGAAUGGUUAAAUUAAAAGGUGAAUCAUACUUCGUUCCAAAAUCAAGUCUUAGAGUGGUACUCCAAUAUUGUGUAUUGAGUGACAUGUCGUAAGUAUGUUUAUAACACAUCAUCACAUAUGGAGUAGAAAAGUUUUCUUAGUCCUGCACGGUUAAAAUUGGUAAGUUGUGAUGUCUUGGAUAAGACAAAGACCAACUAAGACUAAUCGUGUGUUGUGGUUUUGUCUUGAUAGGAACCCGCACUAACUCUUGAAUAUUUGUUUGUCAAGGAAUGUUUCUUGACAAGAGAAUCCUAUAUGUCAAGAGGUCUGUGGGGGUCUUAAUGAUCUUCAAAUGUUUCAAGAACAAAUCAAGAAUAAACCUAAUUGCUCAUCAGUAGCACAUGACUUGAGGUUUAUAACCUAUCGUGAUGACAUAUUCUUGUUUCUGUGUCAUUCCAAUAAAUUUGACUAUGCAUAUGAGGUCUAAGAAUUCUCAAUUGAUUGCAUAAAGCAAAGCACCAUGAUUGGUGAAAGUUCAUUAAUCUGUAUGGGUGAGCUACUUGACUACUUGGAAGACAUGGUAGGCCCUUAUGCUGCUAGGUGGCAAGAAAUAAAGAUUGAACAAGUUCAGUCCAUAUGAGUUUGGAUUUGUCACAAACCUUGUCUUAUGAUUAUGGUUAUGACAAAUUCACAUGAAUAAGAACACAUACACCAUAAAAUCUAAGUGUCAUAAGGUUUCUUUUUGCUUCAUGAAAAUGAUUGUGAGCAAACGCUUUCACUAAGAAGAUUUUAGGAGAUAACACUAUGUAAAUUGAAUUCUCAAAUUCGAUUAUGAUUACGGUAUCCCUUUUCAUUGUUUGAAUUAUGAGAUUUGGCAAUUAGUCUGAACAUUUGGGACUUAUUGUAUUAAAUUAUGAAUUAGUUCAUACACACAUACGAGUUAUCUAAGGAAAGGUGUAUGAGUUUAAGAAGCUUAGAUAAAGUCUUAUCAAAGCAUCUGGUAUCAGAAUUAUGAACUUUGGUAAUUAAAGUCAAUAAGUAUUGAUUUCUAGAAGUCCAGCUGAUUUCUGAAUACAUGUCAAAGCUAGUGGGAGCAUAAGUGUUAUGCUGGUAAGGAAAUAAUUAUCAUGAUAAUAGGAGCAUGAUUAUUUUGUAUUGCAAUUUAGCAAUAUUAAUUAUAGAAAAACAAAAGUUUUAAUUCGUCAAGUUGCAGGGGUUGAGAAGUUGUUUUACUAUAUUUAAGGGAGAGGAACUUAUACUUCAUUUCAAGUCUAAAAGCUUAGAUGAAGAAAUCUUAAUCAAACUUAGUCAUGGACAUAGAUGAAUGUUAUGUUGAAAAGGUUCAACAUAAGGGAAUUCUAUAUAUGGCCAUAUUAUAGCAAGAGACUGGUAAAGUAUCAUGUCUUUAUGUAAGACAUUAUGUAUCGUAUCCCAUAGGCUUCAGGUAUUGGAUCAAUUACAUAUGUUGUAAUAUUCGACACUUUUGAUUUUCCAAAUGCCUGGGCAUUAAGAGGGAAAAAGGACCAGAAUCGGAUAGCACUAAAAUAAUUAAACAACUAUCAAGAACGAUCUAAGGUUUGCUAAGGAUUGGUCGCUAGAAGGCAGUUGGAAGUAAAGUAUUGAAUAGAACAUAUUGGCAUUAUUAUAAAUAGACAGAAUUCUAUUAAGAAUGAGUUGUUAUAUGGAAAAUAUGGAAAUUUUUUCAUAAUGGGAGUUGGGGGUUAAGAAUCUAUGUGCAGAUUAGAAACUUUUAUGCAAGAAGGAUGUUCAAGGGAAUGCACUUUGAAUGUGAGACUUCACGUCUAUAGAGCUAUCUUAUAACAAUCUCCAAUAGAGCACUUUGUAAUAUCAUUGGCAGAGUCUUGAUGACUUUGUGAUGGGUUUUAUACAAAAGAACAAUCAUAUUUGCUCAUAAAAAACCCUAAAGCUUGGAUCUAGGCUUCUCUAUUGUACAUGCAAUUCAUCCAAGACUUGAACUAAUCAAGCAUACACUGAAAACAAAAACUAAAAUGAACUAGUUUAGAUGAUACCUUUCAAUUCUUACAAGAAUCCUUUGAUCUUCAAGAAGCUUAGUGUCACAAGUGUAACACCUCUAAUGACUCACAAACACCAAAAGCAAGAGGAUGAUGUUUAGGAGAGAGGAUGAGAGGCAAAAGUCGGCUCCAUGCUUCCAAGGGAUCAAGUGGCCGAUUUUGCUAUCCCUAGGGGUCCUUAUAUACUUGAGCUACUAGGGUUUCAGUCAAAACCCUAAUUGGAUGACUUAGGCCCUAAGUAACUUGAGAACCUUCUGGAAUAAGGCCUCCUUGGACGGAUUUAAGAUGGACUCCACCUUAAUUUCGUCGAUGCCCUAAUCCAUAAGGAAUCUUAUCCUAAUAUCAACUAUCACACAAUUGACAGUUCUAGUCCCCUUUGUUUAAUUUAUCUCUUUUAUCCAUAGAAUUAAUUUUUAAUUAAUUCUUGACUAAUAUUAAUUAAACUAUAUGAUUUAUCUUUUAAUAUAUUAUUCAUAUAAUAUAUUAAAAAAUCAUAAUAACCUCUCUUUUUCCAUAAAUCAUCCUAUCAAGUUGCUUUGGUGAAGGCAACCCAAAAGGACCAUGCACAACUGGGUCAAGUACAUACGAAAUAUAGUUACGUGCUUAGAUGCUUAUCCAACAGUCUCCCACUUGGAUAAGUCUAGUAACUAUAGUGCAAGUACGGUCCGAUUAGCAAUUAUAGCUCUCAAAGACAUUGUCGAACUCUGAUCUUAUCAGUAACCAGUCCUUUAGAUAAGGGGUCGUAUAGUCCUCUGUUCUAGAUAUCGUGCAGAAAAUUACAUGGAACAUAGUCAUAAUUAUUGUCUAGCAGUUUGUUUCUCGAUCUCUAAUUUGUCUGGCAUUGAACUUAAUUUAAUACAUCAACUCAGUCCUGAUCGGGCCUGGCACAUAAGUCAAACCAAAUCAUCGAGGGGCCUAUAUAUCACUUUUACCCUCUUAGGAUAAAAGGAACAAAUAAAAUUUGACUUAUAUGCAUUUACCAUUUACGCAUCAAAUCAUGCACAACAAUGUGUUUUAUAACAUCAAGUUACAGAUGCAUUUACGCAUUAUCAAUGCACAAACAACUCGCAAGUAAUAAACGAUAUAUCUAGGUUUUAAGACCAUAUGAUAUUAUCAUCUUGCGAUCACUCGAGAUAAAUUCCAUGAAGUGAUACCACCAAGCGUGGGUUUAAUCCAAUGCUCAAAUCUCAUUCAUAAGCACUCGUGAACGUUGCAGCAAACAUUUGCUAUGUCUAAUACACUUUUGACAAUCUACAAACCAAUUCACGACAAUCUUCUUUCAUACCUACUCCCAAAGUAUGAUCCACAAUGGAACAUUCGAAUAAUCCUAUUAUUCAGGAAAUGAAAAAAUGCAAAGUGUAAAAAUAGGUAAAAAAUCAACAUAAAACAGUAACUUUACUUAUAAAUAAUACCCCUUUCUUUAAUCAUCAAAUGUCAACUACAUUUAUCUAUUACAUGUUUCGAAGCUAUCUAAUCUAAACUAAUAUUGUCCUUUAGCUUGAUGCUCCUAGCAUGUUGCAACUGCUUAAACCUUUUAGUCCCUUCGUAAGGGGAUCUAUUGGGUUAUCCUCUGACGAUACCCUCUUUACUACGAGGAGUCCCUCUUCUACCCAAUGUUGAAUAAAAUGAUAUUUCUUGUUGAUAUGUCGAGAUCUGUCAUGAUCCCUUGGUUUCUUUGUCAAGGCAACCACUCCUUCAUUGUCACAAAAAAUUUCCAUGGGAUCCUUUAUGGCUGUCACAACUCCAAGGUCUCGGAUGAAGUUCUUCAACCAUAUUGCCUCCUUUGGCGCUUCGCUCGCCGCUAUGUACUCUGAUUCACACGUUGAAUCAGCUAUGGUCUCCUGCUUGGAACUCUUCCAAGUUAUUGCUCCUCCAUUAAGGGUAAAGACUCAGCCCGACUGUGAACGGUAGUUAUCCCUGUCGGUCUGAAAACUGGCGUUACUAUACCCUCGCACCCUUCAGUCAUCAUUCCCACCGAGUAAUAGAAACCAUUCCUUGGUCCUCCGAAGGUACUUAAGAGUAUUAUUGAUGGUGGUCCAAUGUGCUUUGCCAGGGUUCGCUUGAUAUAUGUUGUCCAUGCUCAAAGCGAAGGCCACAUCAGGGUGAGUACAAGUCAUCACAUAUAAGAUCGAGCAAACUGCGGAAGUGUAUGGUACUCGACUCAUCUCUGCUAUCUCGACUUUGGUACUCGGGCUUUGUGUCUUAAUCAACUUAGCAUUACUUUGGAUUGGUAACUCCCUUUCUUGGAAUUCUCCAUACUAAAAAGUUUUAGUACCUUGUCCAAGUAUGUAUUAUGACUAAGUCCUAUUAGUCUUUUACUCAUGUUUCUCACUAUCCUUAUUCCCAAAAGAUAGGCAGCCUCUCCGAGAUCCUUCAUAACGAAACACUUCCCAAGCCAGGACUUGACUUCCUACAACGUCGGGAUGUCAUUUCCUAUGAGUAGUAUGUCAUCAACAUAUAAUACGAGGAAGCUAACUAUACUCCCACUAGCCUUGACAUAUACACAUCAUUCAUCCUCGCUUCGUAGAAAACCAAACUCUUUGACUUUCUCAUCGAAACAAAGAUUCCAUCGGCGAGAUGCUUGUUUCAAUCCAUAAAUGGAUUUCUCAAGCUUACACACUCUAUUAGGGUGAUUUUCAUUGACAAAACCCUCUGGCUAACUCAUGUAAACAUCCUUAGCCAACUUUCCAUUAAGGAAUGCAAUUUUGACAUCCAUCUGCCAUAUCUCAUAGUCAUGAAAUGCAGCAAUGGCUAGCAUCACCCUAAUAGACUUUAUCUUCACAACUGGUGAGAAGGUCUCAUCAUAGUCAACUCUGGGAGUUUGAGUAAAGCCCUUCACAACCAAUCGCGCCUUAUAGGUGUGUACCUUCCCAUCCCUGUUGGUCUUCUUCUUGAAGAUCCACUUGCACCCAACCGUCUUACGACUUGGAACAUUGUCAACCAAAUUCCAAACUUUGUUGUCAUACAUGGACUGAAUCUUGUUGUCUAUAGCCUAGUUCCAUUUUGCAGACUCCGGGCUUGCCAUGGCUUCCUUGUAGUUAUUAGGUUCAUCGAAAUUUAUUAGUGUACUAUCACUAAUAAACGUAUCAUUCUCACUUGUUAUAUGAAAACCAUACACCACAGGUGGAACACUAACUCUACCGGAACGUCUAAGAGGUAAGGAUUCGUCAAUUGGUUCAACCGGAGUUUCCUCCUCGGGUUGAGCGCCAGUAAUAUGUUCCUUCAUUGCUCGACUCUUGAAGCUCUUCAAGAUCGAUUUGCCUCUCAUUGUCCCCUUGGAUUAUGAGUUCUCGCUCUCGAAAAACCCCUCUCCUUGCAACGAAGACAACAUUGUCACCCAGUUUAUAGAAGAGAUAUCCAAAGGACUUUUGCGGGUAGUCAAUGAAAAUACACCACUCGCUAUGAGGCUCGAGCUUGUCGUGAGUCUCUUGUCUUACGAAACCCUCGCAACCCCAAACCUUCAUAUGUGCCAAUGAGGGAGCUUUACUUGUCCACAUUUUGUGAGGUGUUUUGGCAACCUUCUUUGUAGGGACUAAGUUGAGGAUAUGGGCGGCAGUCUCUAAGGCAUACCCCAAGAAUGAGAUAGGUAGCGAAGCAUGACUCAUCCUGGAACAAACCAUGUCUAGUAAUGUUCGAUUAAGCCUCUCAGCUACACUAUUUAAUUGUGGUGUCCUAGGUGGCGUUAAUUGUGAAACGGUUCUACAUUCCUUCAGGUAGUCGUGGAAUUCAAGACUUAGGUACUCUCCUCCUUGAUCGGAUCGAAGCAUCUUGAUUUUCCUACCCAACUGAUUCUCCACUUCUUGUUUAAACUAUUUGAACUUUUCAAAGGUUUCUGCCUUGUGCUUGAUUAAGUAGAUAUCCCCAUAUCUACUAUAAUCAUCGGUGAAAGUCACAUAGAAGUGGCAUGCGUUCCUUGUGGUGGAUCUAAAGGGCUCACACACAUUGGUGUGUAUGAGAUCCAAUAAACUCUCACCCCUUUCACAAGUACCAGUGAAGGGUGACUUGGUCAUCUUUCGAAGUAAACAAGACUCGCACACGUCAUCGACCCUAAGGUCGAAUGACUCUAACAUUCCAUCCUUUUGGAGUUGGACUAUGCGUUUCCUAUUAACAUGUCCAAGAAGACAAUGCCACAAGCAUGCUUUAUCCAAAUUAUUGGAAGAAUCGAUACACAACACAUCAUUUCCUAAAUUGUCAACAACCAUCACAGUUUCAUAUAUUCCUUACAAGGCAAUGCUUCAAAAUAGAAAACACCAUUAAGAUAAGAAUUAAUAGAACCCUUUUCAUUAUAAAAUGAAUAUCUAAAUUCUUGUCUAUACAAUCCAUGAAAAGAAAUGAUAUUUCUUGCCAUUUCUGGCGGAUAGCAAUAAUUAUUCAAAUCUAGUCCUAAUCCAUUACUAAGCACUAAAGAGUAAACUCCAAUCAUGGUGACAGGCGACGAUCUUAUGUUCCCCAUGAUCAAGUUUAUCUUCUCAUUCUCCACAUCCCUAUUUUUUCUUAGGCCCUGCAAAUCUGAACAAUUGUGAAAACCACAUCCUGUAUCAAGAACCUAAGAAAAAGCGUGUGAUGAACCAUUAGAUUGAAUAGUAUAAAUACCUGCGAAUGAUGACUUGAUCUUUCCAUCCUUUAUAUCUUACAAAUACUUUGGGAAGCUUCAUUUCCAAUCCCCUAUUUCAUGGCAAUGAUGGCACUCUGCAUCCUUGGGGUUGGAGUUGGGUCUAGUAGAACCAGCCUUCGUUCCACUAGAAGAAGUGCCGUCUUGGGACUUUUCAUUACGGUGGCUCUUUGAGGGAGCCUUCCUCUUCUUAACCUUUCCUUGCCUAAUAACCAAGACUAGGGUAGCAUUAGGAGUAGGAGUUUAUGCAACAGACUUAUCCUUGAGGUUACUCUUGGCAAUCCUCAAUAGACCUUGCAGCUUGCUCAACAUGAACUCCUCUUUGUUCAUGUGGUAGGUCAUGCGAAACUGGUUGAAGCAAGGUGGCAAUGAAUUAAGGAUGAUGUGAAUUGCCAGCUCUUCAUCGAAGUUAAAAUUUAACUUCAGCAAACGAUGAACACACCUUUGCAUCUUUUGCAGAUGUGCAGUGACAGACUGUCUAUAUCUCAUUUUGGUCAUGAUCAUCGAAGAGAUGAUCUCGUACCUCUCCUGCCUCGCACUUUGGUGAUACCUUUCAACCAAGUCCUAAUGCAUUUCAUAGGGAUAGAAGUCCUUGUAGGAAUUUUGGAGUGGAGCAAUCAUUAUUGUAAUCAUGAUGCAAUGGACUUUCGUGGCAUCACAAUCAUAGGACUCGAAGGCAGCGAUCUCUUCGGGAGUGGAAGUGUUCAUGUACACCUCUUUUAGCUCCUUGUCGAGGAGAUAUUCCUUGUCCUCAUAAUGGGUACCCAUUCUUAUGUUACAGAUCCAAUCAAUAAAAUUGUUCCCGUCGAAAAUCACCCUCCAACACAAGUUCAUGAGUGAGAAUGAGCCGGAGGCUUUUGAGCCAGAAGUGUUGUUGUUUAAGUUCGACAUUUGGAAAGGAAAAAAGACAAAGGUUGAUUAGAUAAGAAUCCCCAAUUAAACACCCAAAUAAAAAAUUAGGGCUAGGAUCCAACAACAUUAUUUGCAAUUUACAAAAGGGAUGUCGUAAUCUAAACAACAAAUAAUUUGAAGGUAAGUGAAUGACGAUUCACUAAUUUCCACCAUAAAAAACAAAUUAAAAUUAAGUUUUAAAUAUAUUGAAAACUCCUAGAUAUUUUGAGAUUCAUUGAACUUUUCAAUGGCAUGUUUAAAUCUCGAUAUGCCCCUCAAGUUUGUGAUUGGGAUGUCGAGGAUCACAAAUCGGGUGUGAAUAACCAUGUAAAUGUACACGUUGCCCCCAAUGUUACAGUUAGCUAAUCGACAUACUGGUUAACCACACACGCUCCAUCGAUCCAUGACAAACAUCGAGUCACCCGUUACCACCUUUUCUUAGAACCAAAUUAGUGUCUAGGUUAACCACACAC
RNAcentral lists this long non-coding RNA (16448 nucleotides) under Lactuca sativa (garden lettuce). Its description in RNAcentral is "long non-coding RNA (LSAT_LNC005333)". The record is from RNAcentral. Lineage: Eukaryota; Viridiplantae; Streptophyta; Magnoliopsida; Asterales; Asteraceae.